ACUGCUCAGUAACACGUGGAUAACCUGCCCUUAGGUUCGGCAUAACUCCGGGAAACUGGAGAUAAUUCCGAAUAAACCAUUCAUGCUGGAAUGCUUUUUGGUUCAAAGACUUCGGUUGCCUAAGGAUGGAUCUGCGGUCUAUCAGGUAGUAGUGGGUGUAAGGUACCUACUAGCCUACGACGGAUAUGGGUUGUGAGAGCAAGAGCCCAGAGAUGGAUUCUGAGACAUGAAUCCAGGCCCUACGGGGCGCAGCAGGCGCGAAAACUUUACAAUGCGGGAAACCGCGAUAAGGGGAUACCGAGUGCCAGCAUAUUAUGUUGGCUGUCCACAUGUGUAAACGGCAUGUGUUAGCAAGGGCCGGGCAAGACCGGUGCCAGCCGCCGCGGUAACACCGGCGGCCCGAGUGGUAAUCACUUUUAUUGGGUCUAAAGGGUCCGUAGCCGGUUUGAUCAGUUCUUCGGGAAAUCUGACAGCUCAACUGUUAGGCUUCCGGGGAAUACUGUCAGACUUGGGACCGGGAGAGGUAAGAGGUACUACAGGGGUAGGAGUGAAAUCUUGUAAUCCCUGUGGGACCACCAGUGGCGAAGGCGUCUUACCAGAACGGGUCCGACGGUGAGGGACGAAAGCUGGGGGCACGAACCGGAUUAGAUACCCGGGUAGUCCCAGCCGUAAACGAUGUUCGCUAGGUGUCAGGGACGGUGCGACCGUUUCUGGUGCCGUAGGGAAGCCGUGAAGCGAACCACCUGGGAAGUACGGCCGCAAGGCUGAAACUUAAAGGAAUUGGCGGGGGAGCAC
Molecule: ribosomal RNA, 795 nt
Filed under: uncultured archaeon
Lineage: Archaea
Description: bacterial SSU rRNA
Rfam family: Archaeal small subunit ribosomal RNA
Source: RNAcentral